GCGGGGAGGCUGCGGCCCAGCGGCGCUCGGGGGGGCCGCCCCAGUGCCCCCAGGGCACCGCAGCCGCCGGGGGUGAGCUGCGCCCGGCAGCGACUGCAGCCUCCGGCUCUGCCCGGCCGGCAGCAGCUGCAGCCCGGCCCUGGGCCUCUGCUUCCCCCCGGCGCUGGCAGGAGGCAGCUCAGGCCUGGCGCUGGGCAGCAGGCCCCAGAUGGCUGCGGUGAGGACCAGCCUGGUGGGAUCCUGCUCCUGGCAGGGAGCUGUGGCUGUGCCUUUGUCCAGCUGGAGGUUGGAGCUUCCUCAGAGCCCUGGGCCAAGCCUACCUCAGCCUGCUGCUAGCAUGGCCUUGGGGACAGCAGCAGAAGCCAAGCUGGACCAGAGCUGCUGCAGGGCCUGGAUGGUCAAGGAAGAGCUGCUGAGGCUUCUCCUCUGCCCCAUGGAGAGGCAUCAGGGGGCUGUGACCAGGCUGGGAGACACAGUCCUGGGCUGUCUUCUGCUUGACCUCAUGUUCCCCAGGAGGAUGUGAAGCCCAUGGACAGCCUCUGGAGCUCCAGCCCUGCCCUCCCCAGAACUUUUUUCCAGAACCAGACUCAUAAGUAGGCUGCUGAGCUCCAUCUGCAGGCCUGGAGGCACUUCCAGGUGUUGUCACCAAGCCCAUGGGUGCCUGAAUCCUGACUCUGAUCUCCCCAUGGGGCUGGGCAUGUCCCCAAGGGGUUGGUUGGUU
Molecule: long non-coding RNA, 721 nt
Organism: Pogoniulus pusillus (Red-fronted tinkerbird)
Lineage: Eukaryota; Metazoa; Chordata; Aves; Piciformes; Lybiidae
Exons: 3
Source: RefSeq, a predicted model, not a curated record